UCUGCCUCGCCUCAUGCCGACCACCGCCAGCCGCUCACAACUCCUCGCCGGGGCAUCUGGACUUCUUCUCCGCACAUGCCCGAACCAACUGAGCCUCGCUUCUCGCAUCUUCUCAUCAACCGGGGCCACCCCCACCUUCUCUCGAAUAACUUCAUUCUUAAUCUUAUCUAACUUGGAGAGCCCGCACAUCCACCUGAGCAUCCUCUUUUUCGCAACCUUCAUUCUCUGAACAUGAGAGUUCUUUACCGGCCAGCAUUCCGCUCGGUACAACAUGUAAGGUCUGAUCACAACUCUAUAACAUUUCCCCUUGGGUUUUGUGGCACUUUCUUGUCACACAGGACUCCUGAUGCAAGCCUCCACUUCGACUACCCCACUCUUAUACGGUGAGUGACAUCCCCGUCAAUCUCUCCGUCCCCCAGAAUCACUGCCCCAAGAUAUCUGAAACUGUCCUUCUUAGCGAUGACUUGGGAUCCAAUCUUCACUUCCCUGCCUCUUCGCUCGACUCAGCGCUAAACUUGCACUCCAGGUAUUCUGUCUUAGAUCUGCUUAUUUUGAAAGCCUUAGACUCGAGAGUCUGUCUCCAUAUCUCUAACCUCUCAUUAACAUCGACCCUCGUCUCGUCUAUCAAGACUAACUCCAGGUAUUCUGUCUUAGAUCUGCUUAUUUUGAAAGCCUUAGACUCGAGAGUCUGUCUCUAUACCUCUAGCCUCUCAUUAACACCAACCCUCAUCUCGUCGAUCAAGACUAUGUCAGCAGCAAAUAGCAUACACCAAGGCACAUCCCCUAGAAUAUGACGGGUUAGAGCAUCCAUCACCAUGGAAAACAAGAGAGGGCUAAGCGCCGAUUCUUGAUGGAGCCUCAUAACCACCGGGAAAUGGUCUGAGUCACUACCCACCGUCCUAACCCUAGUCCUAGCUCCAUCGUACAAGUCCUUGAUUACUCUGAUGUAGGCUUCCGGCACGCUCUUCGCCUGCAGGCACCUCCAUAGCGCCUCCUUUAGGACCUUGUCAUAUGCCUUCUCCAAGUCGACAAACACCAUGUGCAGGUCCUUCUUCUUAUCCCUGAACUGUUUCACCAAUCUCGUGACAAGGUGGAUAGCUUCUGUAGUGGAGCGAACCAACAUGAAGCCGAACUGGUUCAUAGAUAUAGAUGUCAUCUCCCUCACUCUCACCCUCGCCUCCAUAACCCGCUCCCAGACCUUCAUGGUGUGACUUAUUAAUUUGAUACCCCUAUGGUUGUUGCAGCAUUGGAUAUCCUAUUUGUUCUUGUACAAGGGCAUCACUCUACUUCAUCUCCACUCCUGCGGCAUUCUUUUGGUCCUGAAGAUCGAAUUGAACAACCUUGAGAGCCACUCCACUCCUGACCUACCCAUGCAUUUCCAGAACUCCACCGGGAUCUAGUCAGGCCCGGCCACUCGACCCCUACUCAUCCUACGCAAAGCCCCAACGACCUCC
Molecule: long non-coding RNA, 1454 nt
Filed under: Nicotiana benthamiana
Lineage: Eukaryota; Viridiplantae; Streptophyta; Magnoliopsida; Solanales; Solanaceae
Description: long non-coding RNA (NBEN_LNC031956)
Source: RNAcentral